RNAcentral lists this ribosomal RNA (465 nucleotides) under uncultured bacterium. RNAcentral's name for it is "partial 16S ribosomal RNA". It matches the Rfam family "Bacterial small subunit ribosomal RNA", at positions 338 to 795 of the family's 1533-position model. The record is from RNAcentral.
CCUACGGGCGGCAGCAGUAGGGAAUCUUCCACAAUGGGCGAAAGCCUGAUGGAGCAACGCCGCGUGGGUGAAGAAGGUCUUCGGAUCGUUAAACCCUUUUUUUAGAGAAGAAAGUGCGUGAGAGUAACUGUUCCCGUUUCGACGGUAUCUAACCAGAAAGCCACGGCUAACUACGUGCCAGCAGCCGCGGUAAUACGUAGGAGGCAUGCGUUAUCCGGAUUUAUUGGGCGUAAAGGGAACGCAGGCGGUCUUUUAAGUCUGAUGUGAAAGCCUUCGGCUUAACCGGAGUAGUGCAUUGGAAACUGGGAGACUUGAGAGCAGAAGAGGAGAGUGGAAGUGCAUGUGUAGCGGUGAAAUGCGUAGAUAUAUGGAAGAACACCAGUGGCGAAAGCAGCUCUCUGGUCUGUAACUGACGCUGAGGUUCGAAAGCGUGGGUAGCAAACAGGAUUAGAUACCCCAGUAGUC